Bos taurus (domestic cattle) is the source of this 1005-nucleotide long non-coding RNA. NCBI's taxonomy places the organism in Eukaryota, Metazoa, Chordata, Mammalia, Artiodactyla, Bovidae. The record is from Ensembl.
GAUACUCAAUGAAAGGUCUGUCUAAAAAUGGUAGGCAUGCUAUGGCCAGGAAGAAGAGGAGCACUGCCAUUUCUUCUUAAAUAUCUGAAACCUAAAAUUAUUUCAUGGCAUUUUAAUUAAAUAAUCCCAUAAGUAAGAAUGCUUUGGUGAUAAAGAAGACAUGAAAACACAUUCUACUAGAAAUAAGCACCUACUUUGUAUAACUUUCUUAAAAGCCCCUUCUCCUGAAUCAUGCCCCUAAUUAAAUUUAGAUCCAAAUAAUAUCAUCCACAGUUAACAGAUAUGGUUUUAUUUCUCCCUGUUUCUCUGAAAAGAUGUGUAUCCUUUCAGGUAAGUAUUCCCUUGACAAAGAGGUUGCUAUGGAUACAUUUUUUUUUUUUCUAAUUGAGUGCUGGUAUUUUAAAGCCUGUGCAAUUUAGUGAAGUCUACCUGGCCUUAGGGUUAUACUAAUUUAAGUGCCUGUCUUUAAUGCUCACAGUUUUAUCUUAAUACAGCUGCUCUGUGCCUUUGACAUGUGGUGUUCAAGACGGAUUGAAAGAUGGCGUGGGAUUUCGUACAGGAAAAGCCAAGAAGACAAAUAUCACACGACCCACCUAACUGCUGCUGAAUCAGUGGAUGUUUCACUUGCCUGGAAUUUGUCUGUUCUUGGCAUGUUUAAUAAUGAGUCAUGCAAUGCAUUUGCAAGGCGCCCAAGGCCCAGGGCCACGUGAUGGUUUUCUGUGGCUAAGUCCCUCGUCUUUGUUCAGACAGGCCACUAAUGCAACCCACAAAGCUGACCUAAUGCUACUUCACUGGGUCUCUUUUUCUUCCGCGGCUCAGCCUGAAUGUAACAUUUAGGAAGUCGACUGUCAGGCAUGCAAAUUGAGAGAAAAACAUGCCACAUUAAAUCAUAACAGUUUAAUAAGGCUCUACUCGUGGGCAAAAAACUUUUGGUUCUCUCCCGAGUUGAGACAAGAUGCAAAACAUUUAGUGAAAUUGGCCCCAGUUUACAUAUGGUGGCUGUCA